RNAcentral lists this ribosomal RNA (752 nucleotides) under uncultured archaeon. Its description in RNAcentral is "bacterial SSU rRNA". It matches the Rfam family "Archaeal small subunit ribosomal RNA", at positions 11 to 764 of the family's 1478-position model. The record is from RNAcentral.
UUCCUGGCGGAGGCUACUGCUAUUGGGGUUCGAUUAAGCCAUGCAAGUUGAACGAUUCUUCGGAAUCGUGGCGAACGGCUCAGUAACACGUGGAUAACCUACCCUUAGGACCGGUAUAACCCUGGGAAACUGGGGACAAUCCCGGAUAGGUGAUUUUUUCUGUAAUGAUUUUUCAUUUAAAUGCUCCGGCGCCUGAGGAUGGGUCUGCGGCAGAUUAGGUAGUUGGUAGGGUAAUGGCCUACCAAGCCGGUGAUCUGUACGGGUUGUGAGAGCAAGAGCCCGGAGAUGGAACCUGAGACAAGGUUCCAGGCCCUACGGGGCGCAGCAGGCGCGAAACCUCCGCAAUGCGAGAAAUCGCGACGGGGGGACCCCAAGUGCCACUCUUAACGGGGUGCUUUUCUUGAGUGUAAAAAGCUUUUGGAAUAAGGGCUGGGCAAGACCGGUGCCAGCCGCCGCGGUAACACCGGCAGCUCUAGUGGUAGCCAUUUUUAUUGGGCCUAAAGCGUUCGUAGCCGGUUUGAUAAGUCUCUGGUGAAAUCCUGUAGCUUAACUGUGGGAAUUGCUGGAGAUACUAUUAGACUUGAGGUCGGGAGAGGUUAGCGGUACUCCCAGGGUAGGGGUGAAAUCCUGUAAUCCUGGGAGGACCACCUGUGGCGAAGGCGGCUAACUGGAACGAACCUGACGGUGAGGGACGAAAGCCAGGGGCGCGAACCGGAUUAGAUACCCGGGUAGUCCUGGCCGUAAACGAUGUG